AUCAACGUAGGUCAUUGGUUUCACAUCUAAAAUUUUUCUUCUUCAUGAAAAAAUAAAUUUGAGCAGCCACAUAUCGUUCACGUCAACUACCAUUUAAUCCUCAAUUCCUUCUUCUAUUGUAUAAGCCUCAGAUUCCACAGAUGUAACUGUAAAAGUCUCAGAUCCCAGAACUUCAGUUUCCAUAGACUUGAUCAUAGAAUACUCGUAUUUCAAGAUCUCAGUUUCUAAAUGAGGAACAAAAAUCUUAGAACCCUUUUUGGGGCAUGAUAAUGCCAUUAACGCAACGACAACAGAUCUCAUGCUCGGCCUUGAUUCAGGUUUUUUAUGCGUGCAAAGUUUGGCUAGCUGAAACAUCUGCAAUUAACCGAAUUGUUUUCUUUAAGAAACUAAAGACACAGUUGCAAGAGGACAAGUGCUUAAGUUGUCAUGUACUAAUUUUUACCUUGCUGACUGAUUCGAUUGGGUAAUUAUCCCCAAGUCUCGGGUCAACCAGUUUGCGAAGAUCAUCAUUUGAAUCCGGUAGUAUUGGAACUUGUUCAAACUGUCAUAUGAGCAACAAAAUUAUUAGGUCCUCAGAAACUGAAAUUUACAAGCCAACAAAUAGCCACUAAGUAAAUUUAAAGUCUUGGAAGCUAUCCGUAUUUCUUAAGAGUUUGCGGACACAAAUACGAAAAUCUCUCAAAACAAGUCGUGUGUAGUUUAGCAUAGAAUCUUCCUUUAUUCUUGAGAAAGGAAGGACGCAAAUAGAAAAAUGGAGUAGUAAUUAAUAGAAACAAAUUCUUGAGGCUUUUGGUCUACACUGGCAUUUAACUAGUAACGUUUGUAUGAUCAGAUGAAAAGAUAUCCUAUGUACCCUUGUAUUAUCAUUUACUAAGGUGGGGUUUAGAGGAAUUAUUGUGCAGGUGGUGUUGGGGCAAUAGUGUUUCAAGAGAAGUUGGGUGAUUACCGGAGGAGGAGGUGGUGAUGCAUGGCAAGUGCAGCCGUGGCUAGGACGGUGGUAGUGGUGACAGGAGAUUGAGGAUGGGAAGUGCAAUGGCCAAACGCAAUUGUCUCUUUUUGGUUUUCUCUGGCAAGUUAAUUUUGUAAGAUUUUCUAAUUUUUAGAUUUCUUUUUUUUUUAGCUUCCUAUUUGUUUGGGUCUUUGUUGUUGCUGUUAUUGUCUCUUUGCUGUUGUGUUCACCCAAGAAUAAUGUUAACGACAGUUACAAGCUUAUUUCUAGGAAGUGCAUUGCAUUGGGUGGACAGUUACAAAAAAAAGCCAUAUGUAGAGUGAUGAAGGGAAACUCCUGACCUCAUAAUGCCUUCAAUCAUAGUAAUAGUUAAUCCACCAAUGGAUGAUAGGUGCUUUUUUUGUGCUUGUACUUUUAAUUUACUCCCUCCGUCCCAUUGUUAAUGUCAUGUUUCACCUUUUUCAUUGUCCCAAAAUUAGAGUCAUGCUAAAAUUUUUUCCUUCCAGGAUUCCAUUCUUACCCUUGUUGUGCACAUGUAAAAAAGUCCCAAAAAAUUUAAUAGGACCCACCAUUUAUUCCCAUUUAGAGAAGUUCGAAGUGUGUGCUGGACAACUCCCAAUUUAUGAGGCCACUAUUGAUACGUGUCCUUUACGUAUGAAAAGAUGCAUUUGAUUGAAGUGGGACCCACAGAAUUAUGACUCUUUAAAAAACACAAACUUCAGUUGACUAAUGUACUUCCAGCAGGGUAAAUUUGGAAGUAAAGCCUCGGUUGACAAUCAUAGUUCACGGUGCAUAAAAAGUGCUAUUCCCGAAAAACGUCCUUCCAUUUUGGGACGGAGGGAGUACUAUUUUAGCUUUUAUUUGUUUUUGACACCAUAAUAGUAAUAGCCUUUUUUUUUUGACACGGUGAGUAUCUAGAUCUAUACCCGACUAAUCUCACAGCGCCCAGACAGAACGGACUCAACUGAUGUCCAAGACGGUAACAACUAGGACUCGAACUAGAGAUCUUAGAGUAAAGAUCCUGAGCAGAAAUCGGUUGAACUACCCCAGUGCGGGCUAGUAAUAGCCUUAUUUAUUAACGUCUAUUCUACAAAAAUCAUGUUUGUUACAAGAUUUUAAGGCUGUUCAAACCGAGCUGGACAAAAAAAUUCAAGAAAAUCGACCCAACCCAACCUGAAAAUUUCGAGUACCAGGUUUGCAUUUGAGAGCGGGACUAGUCAUGGUUCAGGUUAGUAACCAAUUAGGUCGGGUUGUGGUUCACAUGUUUGUAGAACCGUGCGGCUUCAUUUGUAAGAUUUUUUUUUUUUUUUGCUUUUUAUAUGUGAGGUUAAAUAUAUAAAUUUAUUUAUCAAAACUAAUAUAAUAGGAAAGGUCUAAUCAUUGUUCACAAAUAUUUUUAUCUUGGAGAUGAUGCAUUUUUGUUAUUUCAAGAAUAUAACAAUGUUAACUUUUUUUAAAGUUAAACUUAUCAAUUAUUAUAACGUUUCAUGUUUUGUUAUUGUAAUAAAUAUUAUUUAUAAUUUUUUUAAGAUGAACAUAUGCGGGAUGAUGGUUAUGUGAUGAUUAUUAAUUUUAAUGAUGAAACAAAUAAUAAAAUUCUAAAAAUUUAGUUAAUUUUUAAUUAUUUAUUAUUAAAUUUUAUUUUUUUAAAACAUAGAUACCUGGUCGGGUACUCGCGAGUACUUGAAACAGUGUGCUAGGUACCCUUGUGGCCGUUGGGCAGCUACAGUUCGAUAAAGUUCUCUUUAAGUUGUUAUGGUAUAAUUGUACUUCUUAUUCUUAUGCUACUAUUUCUGAUGUACAUAUCUUGAUUUAAUUUAAAUAAUUGUCUUUACGGUUGGCAAUGCUUAAUAAUUUGAGACAGGACAUAUGGAUCAUAUCUUUAGAUGCAAUGUAUAUUCUCGUAUAACUAAACAGAUUUUGUGUGAAAUUCAGAUGCGCUUGAAGUUGUGAAUUCGUUAUGCAAUGCAAAAACAUGAUAAACAGUAGAAAAGGCAAAAAAAAUUUUGAUUUUAUUUUCUCCAGGAAAUGAUAAAAGCAACUCUCCUUUAAAUUAAAUCAAGGGGCUCCUUUAAGUUCAAUUUUGGAAUUUAUAGUACUAAAAAAUGUAAUUUCUAAGUUGAAAAUGUGAAAUGAAACAUGUAAUUAUAAGGCAUAAUUUCACAAACCUCCCUUGAGGUUUCUCACAAUUACAAAGAGCUACUCUCAAUUUUAAAAAUUACAUAUAUCUCCCCUACUUUUACUGCUUAGUAACAGUGUAAGUCCAAGAAUAUAGAUUUUCUUUCAAAAAUCCUGAAUUGCCUUUUUUGCAAAACUAAGAAAGAAAAAUACAGUAUAUUUAAUCAUUUUCUUCCACACUUUGCAUAAAUCAAUAAGUCAAAUCCCUAACAACCAUCCAACCAUAAGUUUUAAAAUCAAGUAACCAUCCAAAAGAUCUUAAAUUGUAUAUACCAUAUCAAUACUUGCCAUAAUAAAAAAUACACACACAAAACUCCAUUGACAACCAAUUUCAUACCCCCAAAUUGUCUACUAAGUGGAGGGCAUUAUAUGUGUUUCACUAUGUCAAGAGAGGUAAGUGUAAUUUCUUAAACUUGAGGGGAGUCGAGUGAAAUUGUCAGAAGGGAGGUUUCUAAAAUUAUCCCUAAUUAUAAUGAUGCAUAUUAUUCUGAUUUAAUCACACUUAAGCCCCAUAUAAUUAGUUUAGUAGUUUAUCGUCCCGUUCUCUUACUUUUUCAAUUCUAUUUUUUCCUCAUCUUGAAGGCCAUCACUUAUUUCUAUAGAGUAUUAUGAUUUAUAUACUCUAUUCGGGAGAAAGGAGAACUAAACCCAAAAUCUUUCAUUCUUGAUCUCAACCUUUUUAUUUAAUCUCAACCUUAUGACAUACUCGCAAUACAUUAUUGAUUUGUUUUACCAAACUCAAGACCAAGAUCUCCUUUACAAAUUUGAAUACUUGCAAUACAUCAUCAAUUGUUGCACCUUAUCCUUUUUAUCUCAUUAUGUUUGUAAUUCUAUAUAUUUCACUAUUACUAACUUAUUCAUCACUAGUGCUUAAGGCACACUCUAACAUGUGUGCAAUUAACAAAAAAUAUAUUUAUCACAAUUAUCUCUUUAAAAAGUUUUUUAAUGGAUCUAUUGGUCAAAUUCCAUUAUAAUGUAGAUAAUCAUACACGAGACAAAGAUGACGGAAGUAGAGAAGAAUAUGUAGGAGUUCGAAGUUAGCAUGAGGAAGUUAUAGUUAAUUGAUAACUGAAUAGAUAAUCACCUUCUGAUUCAAAAACUAUCUGCAAUUGAGACAAAUUUGUCCUUAUAAUUAAGGUUACAUUAGGAAUUUUAAAGAAUGACAUUGUGUAUUUAAACAAUCAGUGAUGCUUUCCCUUUAUAUAUUGUAUACAUAAGGGUUAAUGGAUAAUAGAGAUAAGGCUAAAUUUGAAAAUACACAAAAUUAACAUCAAGUUAAUUACCUACACAGGCUUUAUUUAAAUGAGUUUUGAUUUAAAGAAAUCUCUUCCCAAUAUAAAAUAAAAUCAAACAUUAGCAAUAAGGCAGGACUUAUAAAAGCAUAUUCAAAUUGACUGGCUAAUUUUUUAAUUUUUUGCAUCAUAGAUACGUUUUCAAUAACUAUUUGAUUUUUUAAUCACCUUUCUAUAUCACGUACAUGAAAUCACAAAAAGUAUUGUAGUAUUCUAAUUUGUUUUUCAAAUAAUCUUUUAUCUAAAGACACCUAAAUCUAACUUUUUUUUCUUUCAAGUACUUCAAAUGAAGAUUUUUAGUGAAAUAAUUAUUUUGCAUAGAAAAUUUUUUAAAACUCUAUUAAUACUUUUUUUGUACCUCCAAUUUUAAUUUAAGAUCUUUUAUUUGUUUCACAUAUGUCACACAAUAAAAUGUGUUACAUUAAAUAAAAAUAUUUUCACAAAUAUCCUGCAAUUUAAUCACACUCAGUAGUUUUCAAUUAGUAUUAUACAUGCUAGCAUCAAUUACUUUCAUAAAACUCUAUGUGUUAAUCAAGGUGUACAUUUAUGAAAUUAUAGAACGAAUCAUGCGAAGAUGAGUAAUCACAAAUUUAGAAAAAAUGUACCUAAUAGACCUCCUGUUUCGACAAAAAAAAAAAAAAGGUACCUAAUAGGCACUUGUAAGGACACCUAAAUAUACAUAAUUUAGUAUGUGAAUACACAUACUAACAAUUAUUACUUCACCUUGCAUUUAUAAGUUUUUCUUAUUUAACUUUUAUAUUUCCAAAAUAUUGAACCUGAAUUGGUUACUGUAAAAAAAAAAAAAGAUGGGAAGUUCACCCUUUUUUUCCAAUGCUGACUCGAAGAGCUCUGUGUUAUGUAUAAAUAAAUUUUUGGAUUUGAGAAAAGAAAAAAACCAACAACUUUGUUAACAAUUACAUAUUUUUGUCAAAAAAGUUCUCUUAAUAUCAUAACCUAGCAUUAGUUUAGCCAUUUUUUGGAUAUGAACAAAGAAGAGAGGAUAGACCCAUAAUUACAUUUAUAAAAAAAAUAUAUGAGACUUUAUCCUAAUUCUAAUUCUAAGUAAUUGGGUGCGAGGCCAAAUGAAUUACAUUUUAGUGAGUGCUUUAAAAGCACUCAUUAGAUGGCCCCUUAGGAGCAUAAUAAUUAUAGGGAAAAUAGUUCAAAAAUCUCUCUCAUUUCGCCUAAUGAUUUUUUCAUAACUCACUUUGAAAAUGGUAGCUUUACGUCCCUUAUAAAAUCAAGUCAAUAAAAUUUAGUCCUAACCUUGGUUUUCAACAAUUUUUUAGCCCAAAUUUGCAUGUGAUCCAUACAUGGUCAUUGUUUAUGAACAGAAAGGUCAGAUCCUAUUUAUAGUUAAACAAAUGACUUGAUUCAUAUUUAUUUUUGCCCUUAAAAAAAUAGGAUCUAACAGAAUCAUAUGUAUUUUUUUCCUCAAGAAAAUAAGAUCAGACCCAAUCUAUACUUAUUUUCGUCACUAAAAAGUAGAAUUUGACUCUUUUUGUACAUGAAAAAUGACUGCAUGUGAGUCACGUAGUGUUUUAAGGCUAAAAAGUUAUUGAAAACUGAGAAUACAACUAAAUUUUGCUAACUUAAAUUUGUAAGAGAUGUAGAGUUUACGUUUUAAAAGUCAAGGUUGAAAAAAUUAAUUUGGUGAAAUAUGAGGAUAGUUUUGAAAUAAUUAUGAUUGUAUACAUUUAUAUAAUUAAUUUAGUGUCAUCUAGUAGUAAGAAAAAUCAAUUAUUAAAAAUGUUGACAAAGCCUUUCAUAUUUUAAGAAGUGAUUUAUUAAUGGAUCUGUUUGACACGCGUUUUUUUGCGCGUUUUCAAUAGACAAAGUUAUAUUACAAUUUUAACUAUAGAAACUUAAUAAGACACUCAAAUUUUAUAAAAAUAUUCUAAAAUACCAGUAAACACACCUCAAAAUACUAAAAAAAUAAGUCCCCUUCUGUCUUCAACCACCACCUCCCACCACCAUCAUCCCACCUCUGCCAACACUACUGCCAACCACCACCUUCCCCCCCCUGCUUCCGCCACCACCAUCUCCCCCUUUCCCCCUCCACCCCCUCACCUCCUUCAUUCCCUCUCCACUCCUCUCUUCCCCUCUUUCCCCGCUAGCCCCCUCUACUUUCUCUUCUCUUCCAUUUCCCUCCCCGUCUUUCCCCGCCACCCUUCCCCCUUCUCCUCUCUUUCUCCACCCCCACCCACGUCCCUGCCCCCCUCUCUAGGUGAGACCAGACCUAUUCCCAUAUGUUCUCAUAUAGAUGAGACUUUAUUGCCUGUUACCAUUAGUUUAAUGACCCAUCAGCAAAACAAGAAUAACUAGGCAAAGAAAUUGACUAAGGGCCUGUUUGAUAACAUAAAAAAGUGUUGAAACUGAACUUUUUCAGAUAUUCAGAUGUUUUGAAUGUUUGAUAAAUGAAAAUUCAUUUGCUGAACUUGUUAUGCAGUGCUGAACUUGUAUGUAUUUUUUUCAGCACAAGAAUUCUAAAUGAAUGCUUAAUUCUAUAAGAAUCAAUAUAAUUACUUCAACUACCUUAUACAAGUUUUUAGCAAACGCUUUUUUGGCCAAGUUUGUCUUCUACGAGUUUUUUAAAAACUUUAGCUAUAGUAAUCUCAAAAAACUCCUCAAAGUUUUUAAACUAUAUAUUUCAAAAUACUCAAAAAUUUACAUACUUCAAAAAUUUUUCCUACAACUUUUAAAGUAAACUACAGUAAAAUUUUAAACAAACACCCAAAAAACUCAUUUGCCAAAUGGGACCAUAUUAUUAAAUAAUAUUACAACUUAAAUUCUUUUGACACAAGAUUCAAUGAAUAUGGUAGCUAUCAAGACCACGUUCCAUUCACCUUAGUUUUCUUGACAAGACAUAAUAUAUUUAGUAAUAUGAGUAAUUUUUAAUCAAUCAAAUAUUUCCUUUUCCUUAUUUCAAUCAACUAAUUAUCAUAUUAUCUUUUUCUUAUAAUAUUAUUUUGUCCAAAAUAAAGUUUCCAAAUUGUAGCAUGCGAUUUAUAUACCAAAAUCACAAAACCUAAACCCUAUUUUCAUACGAUACAUAGUGAGAUUGAAGAUGAGAAUAAGAAAGUAUCCACGAUAGGGCCUUGCUAGGGAAAGUGAAUGAAUGAGAAGAUGAAGUAACUAGAUUGGCUACUACCAUGCAAGUGACGCUCUUAGAUUUUCAUUCUUUUAUUCAUUUUAUAAAGUCAAUUCAGAUUUUAAGAUUUAUCAUGCCUACUUUAGUCUAUGAAUUUUAGUAGAACUAACUGGACCUCGAAACUUUAGAAAUUUGUCGAUUAAAUCACUAAGUCCCUAAUAGUUCAUGUUGUGUGUAAUCAAUUGAAUGUUCUUUGACCAAUCUGUUAAUAGUAAUUAAUAAAGGAGGUACUGAUCCCUUAAGAGGUUGUUUUGGUCUGUGAGUUUAUUAGAUAGCAACUCAUAUAUGAUUAGUCAUACUUUAUGCACAUCGGUUUUCCUUGUUUUACCGUGCGCAUGUUAUUAGAUGAUGAUUAAUGUCGAUUACACUUCCAAGUAGAUGUCGGUAUCACAAGAGCAAGUAACCUUUCAGCUAGUUCUGACCGAAGCAAGAUUCAUUGGUAUCUUAGUAUGCUCGGGAAGAAUUCAAGAAUGAAGAACAACUUGCUAUGAUUUUCAUGAAUGAUGUUACUGGUGACAACUACCAUUGAGAAUAGUAAUGUGAUCAUUUGGUGUUUCACAGCCGAACUUUACAAUUGUUACACUACUAUUACUUGGAGCUGUCUCAAUUCGCUUUAAAGCUAAUUUUUAAACCUUUAAUGUACUAAAAUUGCAACUAGUUUACAGCAACAAUUGCAAUUGUUUUCAGCCCCUCUGUACAACCUCUAGAAUAUCUGAAACAAACAAUAGCAUUUCUUGGAGUUACUUUUUGUCAUUAAACCAUCCAGCUCCCUCUUUUUGCACAAGUAUCCAAUAAAGAUUAACAGUAAAAUAAAUUAAAGCAUUGAGAAGAAUACUGAGAACACCUUUUUUGCCUGUCUACUGAGACAACAUCACAAAAUUCGAAGUUGUAGGAGGAUCAAGCAGCCACAACCAUGAACUUGUGAAUCAAUUUUAGAGACCAUGGAGGAGAAUGAAGCCCUUUUACAUGGAGCAGAUAUUCCCCUUUUCCACACUGGAUUAGACAAUAUCACUUAUUCCCGCCAAGGAAAUUGGGAUUUAAUGACAUCUCGAUUUCUUCAAGAGACCGGCCUUUAGUUUCAACUGUAAAGUAAUAACCAAAUGUUGCUGCCAUCAAGGAAAAUCCGCCGAAGCCUGCAUAAACUGAAGCCACACCAAAUUUUUCCGCCAGUUCCAGAAAAAAUUGUCCCACCAAGAAGUUGCAUACCUGAUCAUCACGAAAAGCAGAACAACUUGGAGUAUAAGAUUACGAAUGAAAUGCAAUCUUAACAAGGACCGGCCAGAUUGCAAAAGAUGGAGAAUCAAGUAGCACAUAAGCACAGAGAUUUCUUCUUUUUCCUACAAGAGCUUAUUAGCCAAUUUACCCUCCAAACAAGGGAAGAAGGAAGAAGAGACACUGGAUGAACGCAUCACAACACUUUCCCUAAAUUCAACUGAUUAGUCACUAAUCUGGUUUUAGAAAUAGACGAUGACUGCUCAUUUAUAUCUGUAGAAAAAGGAGAUUGCAGUGCAAACCCAGUGAACAGCAAGACUGAAGCUCAUGAUCUUUCCUCGUGUCCUGGUGCUGCUAAGCUCUGGUAUAAUAAGACCAGUUACUGGCCCGGCUCCAGAGGCAAAAAAGAAUAUGUACCUAUUAACGGAGCACAAAGUGGGAGAUCUGGUAAAAUUCUCUCAGAUGCAAGUCAUAUAGGCGAGAAGAAACCAAGGAGAUAGUCAUAUACACAGCAGAGAGAGCAUAAGCAAAAUCGCCAUUAUAAUGUCAUAAAAUGAGCAAAUAAUAGGCUUUGACAUACAUAACUAGAUAAAACAUUAAAUGAAAAAAGGUGUCUCCAGAAAACAAAUAAAGCAAUCUGAUUACAAGCUGCCAACCUAAGUUAUGCAGAGAUGAAAAUGUCAUUUUGCAAUCCAAAUUAUUUAAAUUUGCAGCACACUAACAAAUAAAUAGCAGUCAGAAAAAUUAAAAAUGAGCUGGGACAAAAGAUUAUAUGGCUCUUUACCAUGUGUAUAAUAUGUACAUUUUAAAGUGUGGAAGCAUACAUGGUAGUUCCUAGAACAGAUAACGUGUUGCCAAUGUCCUUCUCUACUGGCAAGCUGAUGGCAGACACCACAAGCAACAUCGACGCAGUCUGUAGAAGGAUCAAUGAACAGAGAAGUUAAAACCAUAUCUUAAGCUGCAAUGAAAAUUGAAAGGGUUUAAAGAUAAUUCCACGCAUGCUACCAUAAAGAACAAAAAUGGCAUACAACUAUAUUGCUCUUUCAAUGGAUCCUGUUCUGCAUGCCCCGAGAGAUGAUGUCUAACAGUCUCCUCUACAUUGAACCGAUAAAAGAAAAAAGAAAGAAGAAAUCCAUAAUGUUUAGCUCACUGAUACUUCUUUUUCAUGCAAACCUGACCAACAUUUUUUUCAAUGCCAGCUAGGUUCUUUGGUAUAAAAAGGACAUGUUUCCUUGUGAUUUGCAACUAGAAUUAGUUAUCACUCACCAUUCCCAAGUAGCUUCCUAUCAGAAGGCUUUUCCUUCCCUGCUUUUCCAUCAAGUAUGUAGCACUGAGUGCCCCUGGAGAUUACCGCACAUCAUGAGAGAAUGGAGAACGUUAAUAACCAACACAUUAGCUCCAAUAAUUGAUAAAGCAUGUCCGUGUAAAUAUACUUGUCACAUCAAAUACUUAACCUGCAAGGUUGGUAAAUCCAACACAUAAGCUUGCUAGAGCACUGCUUGUGAUUCCAACGUCAGCAAAAGUCAAUGAUGAAAAGAAGAGAACUCCAUUUACGCCAGCAAAUUGUUGAAGCAGAAAAAGGGCACCACCAAUGAAUGCAACUGCCAGUGUAAGGACCCCAAAAAAAAAAAAAAAUUUACUGUCAUUGCUGAACCAUUAAAACUGAAGUUGUAAGCAGAUCGUGCAUGAAGUGCUAAGUUAGAACUUUACAUAAUUAAAGAUAGCAAUGACAUGGUACUAAUGACCUAACACUUUACAGACCCUAUUGACAUUCAAAUACAGGAUUAGAAAACAGAAGUUGAUAAAUAAUACAUGAUACAUCUCGUAAUCAUGAAAGAACAGAUCAGGAAAGGCAUUUCAAAAUUUUCUGAUUGCAUUAGGACCAAUGGGCAAAUUAACUAAUUGCAUUCACUUGCAUACUCUAAUAAACAUUUUCACUAUUUAACGGUUGAAGCAGUACAUAAUGACUAUCAAACACUUUUCUACUGUCAAAAAGUUCUGGCUGCUCUCAAGAAACAGAAAGAGUAGAUUGCAUCAAUCUACAUAAGCCAAUAUCUGCUCCUUAAAGUUUCAGAUCCUAGAUAUCCAAUCAGACAACAAAAAGACCACCUUAAUACAACCUCUAGAAUGUGGCUCCUCUAAGAGUUCCAACCAACUGGUGUCCAGAUCAGCUCCAUCACUCCUAAUGACAGACUGAAUAUUUUCAAUAGCUCUGUUGACUUCUGAUGGCCCCCAGAGUUUCUUGAUAACUUCUAUUGCCUCAUCAGAUCUCCCAGCCUAAUAAUUCGUCAACUGAUUUUAGAACCAUAAAAUAAAUAGUAAGUGCAUGUAUGUGCCAAGGAACAGAAUCAAAGAGCACCUUGCAUAGCCAGCGAGGACUUUCUACAGCAAAUUGCAUUCCAAUCGCCAGAAUAAACCCAGGGAUGCUCGCAAUAUAUAGAAUUGUCCGCCACCUUGACAAGGGUGGACCCCAAAAAGUAACCAAUUAAUUCAUUAAUGACAUGCCAAGAAUUAGGCUUCACAUCUUAUGUGGUUUUCAUGUCGUAUGCAGCAAGUUGGAAACAAAUGGAUGAUGUAGUAUUGAUAUGAUACCCUCUAGUAACGCUUUUUGCACAAUGAAAUCAGAAAGCUGGUUUUCAAAAAUUUCCGACCUCUCCUAAGUUUCCAGUAGAAGGUGAUGUAAGGUAACAAACAGGCAACACACAAAAAGAUGCAAUGAAAUGACAGUCAUAUUGAAAAAAGAAAAGAAAAAAAAAACUGCUUGCAAUUUCAAAGGCCAAUCUUCAUUGGCAAGCCUUGAUUCCUGGUUCUUUCGGGCGGGAAGCAGGCCAGGCCCUCAUUGGCAGUAUUUAUCACCAGAGAGAUAAUCUGGUCGUGAAUAUCAGGAAUUUUGUGUCCAUUGUAUCACUAGUUCUAGAGCAUUUACAUUCCAAAACUCAUUGGCCUCAAGGUGGCUGGUGUAAAACAAAUUAUCGAAGUCAACUAAGACCAUUGGUAGCACUAACCUACCAUAACCCUACCACCCAAACUCCACCCCAAAAUUGGAAAAAAAAAUUGAACAAGGAUAGCGACUGCCAUAAGUGUAAAGCAAUAGAGACAUUAAGGUAGAAAAUGUACUGACCACCACAUAAACACAAGAAAAGGAAAAAGACUGUCACAAUUGAACCUCAGCACAAACAAGGUAGCAAAUUAUCGCACCAAUGGGGAUCACUUUCUGAGUGAAUUCCCAGGAAAAGUGAUGCAAUAACUCCAAGGCAUGUGCCAAUUUGACUCAACGUUCCCAGGAAACCUCGGUACGUUGUUGGAGCAAUCUACAAAACAAACAUUUAGAUGCUCCAAUGACAGUGUGAAAGCAACUAUCUCCAUAGUGCUACCCUGAUAUUCUGCAAUAGCAGUAAUGCAACAAACAAUCACAGUACUGAUUGCAAGUGUCUUAGAAUUUAAAGCAACCAAAAUAGUUCAUGUGAAACAAUUCCCUUCCUCCAGCAAAUGAGCUUCAUAUCUGAAAGGAUACAAAAUAGAAAAAUAUAAUCACUAGUAAUGCUGAUUCAAGAGCUACUCCACAUGAAGCGUGAUAUCACACUCCAUUUUUAGUUAAUCUGUCAGAAGCCCUUUUUCUUUAAGCACGACCGGUGGGGUUAUCUAUUAGCAUCUCAUAAAGCGAGACCCGAUUGCGAUGAUCUAUUCUUACCUUUGAAGUUUAGUUAUCAUGUACUGUUCGUAUGUUGAUCUUAUUGUCUUGUAGGUACAGAGAAACAUUUUUAAAGUUUUCAGAUAAAGAACUCAAGUUUUUAGAUGCAAUUAUUCAAUAGUAGAGAACCAGGGUUCCCCAUAAUCACAAGAGUCAACUUGUUUAAACUAAAGGAUUACCUCUGAGAUGUAAAUAGGAACAAGAACCGUGUUCACACCAACACCAAGGCCAACAAGAAAUCUGCCCCACAGUAUUUCGUCUAAUGAGUGGGCUUGUGCACUGUCACAAGUUUGAUAAUGGAUCUAGAUAAGAAAGCAGUAUGGCUAUAGGAAGGAUGCAUAUCUGAGAGAACUCCAGGACAAUGCAUUUGAAACAGGAUUCACAAAAAUAAAUUUGCCGCAGCCAUAAUCUAGGAAUAAAUCCUUAUGCAUCAAAGCAGAAAGAAUGCAAAGCAUGCAUAUACUCUUUUGCCUGUUUACACAUAGUUGUAAAUAAGUGCACAAUAAGAAAGGAAUAGAAAACUUGAGCAUAAUAUCACACAAAGCUUAUUAGGCUCUAGUACCCUCUUCUUCAAACUUGAAAAAUCUUUAGUAUCAGAAGUCCAGAGUUUCCAGUGCAUUUGCCUUCUCAUCAUCCCAAAAAUUAUAUCUCACUCCACUUUUUAGUUAACCCAACUGCAGCCCAUUUCUAAAUGAUUGAUCCAAAAACAUCAAAAUCAAUUAGGUUGAAGGGGAAAUUAUGGUCAACAGUUUGAUGAUUAACACAGUCAUAUUUCCUGUAUUUCUCAUUUCUAUAUAGUGUAUGUGCAAAAUGUUGUGCUCUGUCUUUAGCUUGAGCUUCUAGUGGCUAAUUUCUGGAGUCAAGUUAUUCCCAACACAAAUAACUUUCAGCCUUCAUGUGCUGAAAAUAUUAGUCAUAUCUCUUUGCCUCCAUGUGGUGGAAAAGUAUUUUAUAACUGUUUGGUCAAAAGAAUGCACCAAACCAGGUACACCAUUCUUUAGAGUUCACUCUGUCCAGUUUCCAACAGUCGCCUUUUUGAGAACAUCAGAUUCUCUAACUUCACAAAACACUGCAUGAAAGCACGACAUAAACAAAGUGAAAAAUGGAAAAUAGAGGUUGUAAUUAGGAACCGGAUAGCUGGCUCUAAGCCCAGAUAAGUCAACAGGUCAAGAUUGGAUGGCUUACCGUCAACUCCGCAGAAGAGCUUUCAGUACAGAACAAGGAAAAAGCAUGCAGAAAUAUAAGUUCAAACACAACCAAAACUAAUAAUCCUUCUGUCGUAUUUAAUACUGUUAUAAUUUCUUUUUGGGAUGUCCAAUUAAAAAGACAUCUUAGUAAGAAUGGAUAGUUUGUUGGGGAAAGCAAAGAAAGAAAGAGGGAGAGAGAGUGGAUAGUUUGUGAAGGCAACUUUCCAACUUCAUAUACUCAAGUUACACAAUAUACAUUAGAAGACCAAGCUAAAUUCUUGCAAGAUGUGAUUAAAAAAAUUGUUGGAAAAGCUAGGUCCUUAAACCUAGUGUCAUGGGGUUUGGGCGACAAGACAAAUGGGAUGCAGGGAGUAGGAAGGGCAGAACAAACACAUUAAAUCUAUAGUUCACUCUACCUCCUAAAGAACUCUAACUUGAACUCAAACUCAGGGUAGCAUGUAUAAUCAUAAGUGAUCACAAAAACUUACUUUGUGUUAAGAUUACUAAAAUAUUGUCAGAAUUCAGGAGAGGCACCUUGCAUGGAAGGAAAGAUUUGAUUAAUUUAGCUAGACCUAUCCGGGCCAUAAAACUAUAGAAAUUCAAGGCUCAUAGAUAUAUGAUAUGAUACUCUUACAAUUAACUACGAACCUCAAAAUUGAUACAGAAUAACCUCCUGAUUUGGUUAAGACUCAAAUUAUACUUCUUUAUUUCCACUAGAAGUACUGGCAAGAAAAUUCAACACAUCAGCUUUUAACUUGUAGAUCAUCCAAAGAUAGCAACAAAAAGAAAUUAGUGUAGCCAAAAUUUACAAAAAUGUGGGCCAAAAUUUAUCAUCAAGGUUCUUAGCUCCGAUAGAUGUUUACAAAAGGCAAUAAGCUAAAGAAUUAGUUUGAAUCUGCUAACAACAUGUAAUGGAGACAAUUGAAAACCUGAAAUGAUAGAGUGGAACAACAAUUUAAUUAGGUAGAAUUUGACCACUAAGCAUUGGGAGGAGAAACUUGUACGUGCAUGGUACAAUGCUUUCAACAGUCAGGAAGAAAACCAAAAAAAUCUUUAAGCGAAAGAAAAUUGUAAAGCUCAAAGGUAGUCUAAGGACUAGGGGGCAUUGAUAAUGAUUGUUCACCCUUAUACACUUAGAACACAUGCAACUAAAAAGAUAUCACACUAGCUGAUUUCAAUAUAUUUUAUGUAAUGGCCACAAAUUUCAAUCAAUUUGUUUGAGUAUUAAGCACCUGCAGAAAUGCAUCACUGUGACAGUAGGUUCUUGGAAAAGGCAGGAUAAGCUUAAAGGUAUAGUGCAACAAAAGUUUACUUCUUCAAAGUUAUCUUAUGCAUCAAGGUAUAGAGAGGUGUGAGGUAUGAUUAUCAUAUAAAACCCGAGAAAGUCUGUAUACUUUUAUAGAACGAUGCAUGUUUAUGACUUCAAAAACACACAGAUGAAAUAUGACAUAUAUGCAAGGAGCGAUCAUUGAUUUCGUGCAUACUUCUUUCCCAUUUGUUUUUACCAAUUGUUACAACUUUUUUGAAGGGUUGUUAUCAUCUUCUCGAGGUGACAAUCUUAUUUUCCCAGUAAAGACAUGCAAAAUACCAAGUUAGAUACAUUCUGGAGAGCAUUUAAAGGUGGUCAAUCUUGAAAACAAUUGAAGCACACCAAAAUGCCAUUCUUUGGAUAUUCCAACAAGAAGGCAGUAUGGCUUGGUGGACAAAUUGAAUACAAAAAACAAGAAAACCAAACAAAAUCACAGACAUAAUUUUAAGCAAGAAAACAAAUUCGAUUAUAAUAAAGGAUUAAAUUGGAAAUACCCCAGUAUAUUGCCAGGGUAAAAUAAACAGCAACACCAAUAGAGACCAUGUAAUUACCUGAUGAUUGCACCAAGAACAAGAGGUAUUGUGUCAACUUGAAAGGCUCGCCUACAACCAAGUUUAUCCACAAGAAAACCAGAGCUAAUGCUUCCAACAAAUGCACCACCAAUAAAUGUACUAACAACAAGUCCUUCGAGAAAGGAAUUUCCUUCAAAACCAAGUUCUUUGGCAACAGAGACAAUAGGACCAUUCAUCACUCUGCACUAGACAACCAAGAAAGUUAAUAGGAAACAUAGAAUCUAACAUAAUCAGUGCCUCAAACAACAAUUGUGCAAAAAGGUCAAUUGAGUGUGAGAUUGACCAUUACUCAGACAACAACAAACAUGGAUAUACGUUUAUUUUUGAGUAAAACAAGUUUAGAUAUAACUGUGAUUUUUUACCAACUUUAGCACAUGAAAUUGAGAGAUAGAGAAAAUUACCCAAUGUGAUAUCCAAAGAGGAAAUUGAACAUAGAAGCAAACAAUGCAUAAGGAAAAGCAGGCAACCACCCUAAAUCAGUUGCUUCAUCAGAACCAUUUUCUUGAAGUGAUUUUUUUCCAUUCCCUGUUCAACUCCAGAAACAAAUUAAUGAAAAAGAUUCAACCUUUCACAAAUACACAAAAACCCACAAGUAUUUGCACAGAUACUCACAUAUCUGAUCACUUAAGCCAGAAAGCAGCUUCUGCUCUUCCUGCUGCUCUUGCUGUUCUUGCUGCUGUUUUCUGGUGGCUGAAACUUGAAGUCGCUUCUUGUAGUCUGAGCAAGAAAGGGAAUGGAAACAUGGGUUUUUCCUCUUUUUAGAGAUGGAUAAAUUAUAGUUGUGAAUGACAAGUGCUGGGGUGGAUUCUUAUUUAGUCGAGUCUAGCUCGAUAAGUUCAAUGUUUGACUCGGUUCGGCUCGUUUGCACCCCUAUGUAUAAAUUAUAAAUGAAUAUUAUAUAAAUGUAUAAAUUAUAAUUUAUAGUUUAUAAUUUUUAUAUUUUUAUACAUUUAUGCAUUUAUAAUAAAUUUAUAAAUAAAUAUAUAAAUGUAUUAUAAAUGUAUAAAUGUAUAUUAUUAUAAAUGUGUAUAAAUUAUAAAUGAAUAUUAUAUAAAUGUAUAAAUGUAUAAAUUAUAAAUUAUAAAUUUUAUAUUUUUAUAUUUAUAUACAUUUAUGCAUUUAUAAUACAUUUAUAAAUAUUUAUAAAUAAAUAUAUUUAUUUAUAAUACAUAUAAAUAUAUAUAUAAUAAAUAUAUUAUAUAUAAUACAUAAUAUAAAUAUAUUUAUAAAUGUAUAAAUGUGUAUAAAUUAUAAAUGAAUAUUAUAUAAAUGUAUAAAUUAAUAUAUUAUAAAUAUAUGUUAAUAUUAUGUAUAAAUGUAUUAAUAUAUUAAAUAUAAAUGUAUAAAUAUAUUAUAAAUGUAUUAUAUUAUAUAUAAUACAUUAUAUAAAAGUAUAUUAUAAAUAUACAUAAAUAUAUAUAUUAUGUAUAAAUGUACAUUUAUAUAAAUGUAUAAUAUAUAUAAUAUAUAUUAUGUAUAUAUCAAAUAUAUAUAAUAUAUAAUAUUUAUAUAAAUGUAUAAUUACAUAUUAUUAUAUAUCAUUUAUAUAAUUUAUAAUAUAUAAUAUUUAUAUAAAUAUAUUAUAAAUAUAUAAAAAUAUAUUUUAUCCAAUAUAUAUUUAUUUAUAAAAUAAAAUAUUUAUAAUAUGUAUAAAUAAAUAUAUUUAAAUUAAUAUUAUAUAUAUAUAUAUCAUAUACAUAAUUGAAAUAUACAAAUUGAAAUAAACAUAUUAAAUAUUUAUUUGGAGUUGUUUUUGAUAUAUUGUUUGGAUAUGGUGUUUUUGGAGUUGUUUUUGAAAUACACAUUUACUGUAGCAUUUGGAAUGUGAAAAACAGUUUUUCAAAAACAGUCCCAAAAACAAGCUAUCCAAACAGACCCAUGGGUUUUUCCUCUUUUUAGAGAUGGAUAAAUUAUAGUUGUGAAUGACAAGUGCUGGGGUGGAUUUGGCUGUUGAAAGAAGAGGGAAAUUUUGGUGUUGAUGUAGAGCAGAAGUUGUGGUAGUUUCUAACAUUGAAAUACAAAGGGUAGUGAAACAGAGAGAGUUUGGGUGCGUUUGGAUCAAGAAGGAACCAUAUAAAAUUAUAAACUACCAAAAUUACCAUGCUAUAUUCGCCACAAAAAAAAAUAAAACAAAAUAAAAUAAAAUAAAUCAUGGAAGUCAAUUUCAUUUUUUGUUUUCUUUUCUUGGAAAAAAAAUAAGAAUCUUUGUGGUCACAUUUUCAAGUUUGUGUCCAACCACAUUAAUAUUUUGUUGGUGAUAAUUGGUGGAUAU
RNAcentral lists this long non-coding RNA (17813 nucleotides) under Coffea arabica (coffee). RNAcentral describes it as "long non-coding RNA (CARA_LNC003801)". The record is from RNAcentral. Lineage: Eukaryota; Viridiplantae; Streptophyta; Magnoliopsida; Gentianales; Rubiaceae.